RNAcentral lists this ribosomal RNA (307 nucleotides) under uncultured bacterium. Its description in RNAcentral is "bacterial SSU rRNA". It matches the Rfam family "Bacterial small subunit ribosomal RNA", at positions 28 to 334 of the family's 1533-position model. The record is from RNAcentral.
GAUGAACGCUAGCGGCAGGCUUAAUACAUGCAAGUCGAACGGUAAGGUCUCGCUUGCGAGAUACACGAGUGGCGCACGGGUGCGUAACACGUAUGCAAUCUACCUCUAACAGGGGGAUAGCCCCGAGAAAUCGGGAUUAAUACCCCAUAAUAUUUGAUUUAGGCAUCUAAAACAAAUUAAAGCUCCGGCGGUUAGAGAUGAGCAUGCGGCCCAUUAGCUUGUUGGUAAGGUAACGGCUUACCAAGGCAACGAUGGGUAGCUGGUCUGAGAGGAUGAUCAGCCACACUGGCACUGAGAUACGGGCCAG